GAUGAACGCUGACAGAAUGCUUAACACAUGCAAGUCAUUGGCGAAGCUGCGCUUGCGCAGUCUAGCCAAGGCGGACGGGUGAGUAACGCGUAAGGAACUUGCCCUGCAGACAGGGAUAACAGACGGAAACGACUGAUAACACCUGGUAUUGUCAGGCUGGCGCAUGCCGGCCUGAUGAAAGGAGACACUGCAGGAGAGCCUUGCGUCCUAUUAGCUAGUUGGUGGGGUAACGGCCCACCAAGGCGAUGAUAGGUAGCCGGCCUGAGGGGGUGAACGGCCACAGGGGGACUGAGAUACGGCCCUUACUCCUGCGGGAGGCAGCAGUGGAGAAUAUUGGACAAUGGGGGCAACCCUGAUCCAGCAAUUCUGUGUGCACGAAGAGGGUUUUCGGAGUGUAAAGUGCUUUCAGCAGGGAAGAAGAAAGUGACGGUACCUGCAGAAGAAGCGACGGCUAAAUACGUG
Molecule: ribosomal RNA, 462 nt
Filed under: uncultured bacterium
Lineage: Bacteria
Description: partial 16S ribosomal RNA
Rfam family: Bacterial small subunit ribosomal RNA
Source: RNAcentral